CGUAGGGUGCAGGCGUUAAUCGGAAUUACUGGGCGUAAAGGGCGCGUAGGCGGCCUUCUAAGUCAGACGUGAAAUCCCCCGGCUCAACCUGGGAACUGCGUCUGAUACUGGUGGGCUUGAAUGCGGGAGAGGGAUGCAGAAUUCCAGGUGUAGCGGUGAAAUGCGUAGAUAUCUGGAGGAAUACCGGUGGCGAAGGCGGCAUCCUGGACCGACAUUGACGCUGAGGCGCGAAAGCUAGGGUAGCAAACGG
RNAcentral lists this ribosomal RNA (250 nucleotides) under uncultured bacterium. RNAcentral's name for it is "partial 16S ribosomal RNA". It matches the Rfam family "Bacterial small subunit ribosomal RNA", at positions 526 to 775 of the family's 1533-position model. The record is from RNAcentral.